GGGGCAUUAGCUCAGCUGGGAGAGCGCCACACUGGCAGUGUGGAGGUCAGCGGUUCGAGCCCGCUAUGCUCCACCA
Molecule: transfer RNA, 76 nt
Filed under: Alkalicoccus saliphilus
Lineage: Bacteria; Bacillati; Bacillota; Bacilli; Caryophanales; Bacillaceae
Also listed under: 13 other names
Description: tRNA-Ala
Rfam family: tRNA
About the family: Transfer RNA (tRNA) molecules are approximately 80 nucleotides in length.
Source: RNAcentral